GUUCAAGCGCCCAUAAUUUGCGUGCCAUGGUUGUGAUGGGCAAUCGGAUCGAUGGACCUUUGCCAGCGUGGGUACGUCCCGAGGAAAUUGCAUCUGUGUUGUUGUACAACGCGCACCCUGGCCGUAUGACUCUCAUUCUUGUAAUUAUUUACGUGGUUGGAGCUU
Molecule: non-coding RNA, 165 nt
Filed under: Karlodinium veneficum
Lineage: Eukaryota; Dinophyceae; Gymnodiniales; Kareniaceae
Source: RNAcentral